This 913-nucleotide ribosomal RNA is filed under the name uncultured bacterium. Its description in RNAcentral is "bacterial SSU rRNA". It matches the Rfam family "Bacterial small subunit ribosomal RNA", at positions 8 to 916 of the family's 1533-position model. The record is from RNAcentral.
AGAGUUUGAUCCUGGCUCAGAUUGAACGCUGGCGGCAUGCCUUACACAUGCAAGUCGAACGGCAGCACGGGAGCUUGCUCCUGGUGGCGAGUGGCGAACGGGUGAGUAAUAUAUCGGAACGUACCCUAGAGUGGGGGAUAACGCAGCGAAAGUUGCGCUAAUACCGCAUACGAUCUACGGAUGAAAGUGGGGGAUCGCAAGACCUCAUGCUCAUGGAGCGGCCGAUAUCUGAUUAGCUAGUUGGUAGGGUAAAAGCCUACCAAGGCUUCGAUCAGUAGCUGGUCUGAGAGGACGACCAGCCACACUGGAACUGAGACACGGUCCAGACUCCUACGGGAGGCAGCAGUGGGGAAUUUUGGACAAUGGGGGCAACCCUGAUCCAGCCAUUCCGCGUGAGUGAAGAAGGCCUUCGGGUUGUAAAGCUCUUUCAGCUGGAACGAAACGGUACGCUCUAACAUAGCGUGCUAAUGACGGUACCUGAAGAAUAAGCACCGGCUAACUACGCGCCAGCAGCCGCGGUAAUACGUAGGGUGCAAGCGUUAAUCGGAAUUACUGGGCGUAAAGCGUGCGCAGGCGGUUUGGUAAGACAGAUGUGAAAUCCCCGGGCUCAACCUGGGAAUUGCAUUUGUGACUGCCCGACUAGAGUGUGUCAGAGGGGGGUAGAAUUCCACGUGUAGCAGUGAAAUGCGUAGAGAUGUGGAGGAAUACCGAUGGCGAAGGCAGCCCCCUGGGAUAACACUGACGCUCAUGCACGAAGCGUGGGGAGCAAACAGGAUUAGAUACCCUGGUAGUCCACGCCCUAAACGAUGUCUACUAGUUGUUGGGUCUUAAUUGACUUAGUAACGCAGCUAACGCGUGAAGUAGACCGCCUGGGGAGUACGGUCGCAAGAUUAAAACUCAAAGGAAUUGACGG